RNAcentral lists this ribosomal RNA (434 nucleotides) under uncultured bacterium. Its description in RNAcentral is "partial 16S ribosomal RNA". It matches the Rfam family "Bacterial small subunit ribosomal RNA", at positions 29 to 508 of the family's 1533-position model. The record is from RNAcentral.
AACGAACGCUGGCGGCAUGCCUAACACAUGCAAGUCGAACGAUGCUUUCGGGCAUAGUGGCGCACGGGUGCGUAACGCGUGGGAAUCUGCCCUUGGGUUCGGAAUAACAGUGAGAAAUUGCUGCUAAUACCGGAUGAUGUCUUCGGACCAAAGAUUUAUCGCCCAGGGAUGAGCCCGCGUAGGAUUAGCUAGUUGGUGGGGUAAUGGCCUACCAAGGCGACGAUCCUUAGCUGGUCUGAGAGGAUGAUCAGCCACACUGGGACUGAGACACGGCCCAGACUCCUACGGGAGGCAGCAGUGGGGAAUAUUGGACAAUGGGCGCAAGCCUGAUCCAGCAAUGCCGCGUGAGUGAUGAAGGCCUUAGGGUUGUAAAGCUCUUUUACCCGGGAUGAUAAUGACAGUACCGGGAGAAUAAGCUCCGGCUAACUCCGUGC